This 2877-nucleotide long non-coding RNA is filed under the name Musa acuminata (dwarf banana). Its description in RNAcentral is "long non-coding RNA (MACU_LNC001167)". The record is from RNAcentral. Lineage: Eukaryota; Viridiplantae; Streptophyta; Magnoliopsida; Zingiberales; Musaceae.
UUCCAUCUUGUUCUUCUGGGAUUCUUUUCCCCGCAUUCUCUUCUUACAGCGCCGCCGCUUCGGCUUCGGCUCCCAAUGUCUCUCUGGCCCUCUGCUACGAGAAAUCGUGCCGUAAUAUUGCCAACAUCGUCGUCAAUUACCUCGGCGAGAUUGACGCCGACCGCCUCCUCUCCAUCGUCGGCAACGCCAGGAGCCGGAACGGCACCAUAUCCUGCUGGGUACUCCCGUCUAUUCCUUUCUCUGACCAACUCGAAGUGGUCGCCACCCUUAGAAAGGUCGUGAGGAUGAUUUUUUCUGCCUUUGAUGGGGGUGUAGAAUAUAAAAAAGGAGGGUUCUUGCAAUAAAACGGAUCUUGUUCUCUUGCGUCGUUGUCCCAAUGAGUGCUUAUACGCCUAUAAUGCUCGGCCCUAUUUGUUAGUAUUCUCUCUACAGUCGUUCCUCUCUUCACAGAUUGGAUCCAGUUAUGCUCUUUCAAGCUUAGUUGUUUAACAUCCUUAGUUGUGAAUAGAUAUGGGUAAAAAUUUCAGCUUAAUUGGGGAACAUCUGAAAGAUCAAAAAAUUAAGCUCUUAUCUUUACAAUGGCAUCAUAUAAACUCUUUGGUUUGUGCCAAAAGACUCGAAUGUCAUAGGCUUCAUCAUCAAGAGGACGUAAAUGUAGUUGUGUACAUAAAUUUUAUUAAGAUAACUUGUAGAUGAGCUGCAUGUUAUAAUUGGUCAAACAUGAAUUCUAGCAAAAAUGCACGCUAUUGUUUACGUGGCAGCAGGUUUCAUCAAUAUUGUUGUCUAAUUAUCAUGGACUUAGCUGGUUUUGCCUAAGUCGUACGGUACCCUUGCGUGCCCGUCCGCAAAGGUCAGCCUCCCCAAAACCUCCUAUAGUCCCUUAGGAUCUACAAAAGAGAAAACAGGUUAGAGAAAGCGCCUCACUCGAGAUCCACAAGCAAAGAUUCCAGGAAACACUUCAUAGACAAUGCAAAUUACAAACAGACUUUACAAGCUCUGAACAGUUGCACAACAAAGGGUCAAAAUGGUCCACUAUAGAUCGAAUAUCUCUCACAAGUGUCUACAUGACACAAUCUUUAUUUACAAGCCUAAGAAGGCCACCAAACCCAACUAAAAUGAGGCUUUUAAGUCUUCGACCGUCCCUCUACAUGAUGUGCAAAGCAUGAACAAACCAAAAGACACGGACAUAUAUAAGUAUUACAUCAAACAUCCUGUUUAGAACUUUGUCCGUGACAUAAUGGUUCCUUCAUGGAUCCACGAGUACAAUAUUCAGAAAGGCAGAGGUAAGAAGGUGAUAUGAACACACCUCACGUAAUCCAUAUGAUGUAUCUUGACAUAUCUUUACAUGCUCGGAUGUGUAGUUACACCAACUAUUGGAAAUGUCCUCUGCUUUCUCAUUUCCGCCUGUUGAAGUGCCUGAUUAUAUUAAAAAUAAACUAAUUUCCAAUCAUAUCUUGUACACAGCAUAUGCUGCAGUAUGACUACUGAAUCUGCACAUCUUAAUCCAAUUCUUACUACUGUUUCAGCAUAAUGCUUUAUCAACCUAAUGGAGGACACCCUUUGUGCCAUAGUAUAGUUGCCCAUGUUUUGGGCUGGUAUCAGGGGUCUACAUUAGCAAAAGUCAGGCAGCAUUGCAUGUUCCGCUACCAGGUUUUUACAUUCUUAAGGUCAUAGCUAAUUCAAGGGAUCUUGACAUGCAUGAUGUGGAAUUCGUUUAGCUGAAUCUGUGUGUGUUACAUAGUGCAAAUCACUUGAAGAGUGAUCUUUCAUUACAUCUCCCAGAAGCUAUUAUUUUCUUUCAACUUUUGCAGAAGAACAUUUCAGCAUCAUCUACUCAGUUGAGAGCCUGGUUUUGAAACAUAACUACCUUCACUGGAAAUCCUGGUUUUCAGAAACUGGAUUUAGUUCACAUGCAGAUAGUGGACAUGGGGAAGAGUUCUCGUCCAACUACUUUAUCAUAUGUAUGACAUAUAGUAAUAAGUUUGUAAUAUAAACCUGCAAAUGUAUUUUGAAAUUUUAUGGGAAAAAAAUCAAGUCAGUUUUGAUGCUGUCUGCAGCAAAUUUUCUUCUGAUUCUAUUGAUUCUAUAUCUUCAGCUAAAGUAAUCUUGUUACUAUAGCUUGAUGAAAUGUAAUGUAAAUCUCUUUUUUUUUCUCUCAUACAUUGGAUGUAGUUUCAAUUUCUACAAUACGUAUCAGCAUAUUCUAUAGUUUGUAAUUUCUUAGCACAUACAUAUCAGAUUUUAUUUUGACGAGUCAAUUUACUGAACUUGGUCCCUUCUAUUUUUGCAGCUUGAAUUAACAGUAUGGAGCACAAACAGAUUCUCUGAAGCCCCCUCAGAGAUACAUCUAUUGGGUAGUGGUGGAUGGACAUCCACUUUAUGAGGUUAGUUCUAAUGAUUAGGAACUUCUUCAGUCCUCUUCUGUUGCGUCACUGUGAUGUACAUCAUAACGAAUUGAUUGGCUGAAAUUGGGUUUAAAAGCGGCAAUAUGCACGAGUCCUUAUCAGAAGUUUCCAAGUUACAUAUACUGAAGCAUACAACAUUCUCUUCUAUUCUAAUUUCAGUUGAACAAGUCAAUUUACCAGUUGGUUUAUUCUUGCGUUACUAUUAGGGUAGAUGAUAUGUUCAACUCUUGACCUUUCUGCCUCCUUGAGCUGUGGGGAAGCAGUUGUAUUGCUUGUGCUGAAUUCUGAAGACAUGAUUAUUUGUGAUCCAUUGUUAUUCUAAAAUUUAGAAGAAAUGUAAUUUCUUGAGAAUUUGCUUUCUUGGGAUCCCAAAUUAGUUGCACAAGCAUUGUACGUUGCCAUCUUAAUGUGCAAACCUGAGUAUUCCUUUAAAUAACUUAAGAUCUGAUAUUUUGGUGUUUUGUGUACUUCA